AACUUCUCGGGUAACGCGCUGCAGGGUGCGGUCCCGGUUCCCGGCGUCCGUCGCGGCGCUACCGUUUCUGCAGGUGCUCGACGUCUCGCUCCAGUCAUCAGAUGAGGAGUUGGAUAGAGUCCGGAUCGGAGGCUCCUCUCUCCUUUCUUUGUUGCCCCCGGCCUGAGCUUUGUCAGAAUACCCCGCUCGUCGGUUGCUCGUUCCAACAAGGUUACAAGAGGAUCAGUGGCUGGACAAAUAUUUAGAAACAGUGAGAGCGGGUCCCCCUGCCGUAGGCCUCGGCGGCUCGAUCGGCCGUGCGUGCGAUAAAUAUGAUCGGCCCGGGAGGUGAGCCAGUGCCCAUCGUACGUGCGGGGAAGCCUAGUCGCUGCAGUAGUUCAAGUAGGUAAUCCCAUCCCAACUUCCCAAGGAAUCGAAAGCAUAGGCAAUGUCAAGUUCGAUCGGCAAUGCCGGGGUGCCCGUCUUCCCGAUCUGUGGAAAUACCUCGCUCUGGUUGUUGGAGAUCAGACAGUUCAUAAAGGCCUGCUCGCAGCCGGAGAGCAAGCACUUUGGCACAAUAUACCAUGCAUAAACUGAAUGAGCGACAGUCUGUGAUGAUCUUGCCUGCGCCUUCCUUGCGCACCCAUUUGGAAGCGCUGGAUCGUCCUUUUGGAAGCAGGAAUCGCUAUUGCCACUGAGAGGUGUCAGCGUCAACCAUAUGCAUUUGGAGUUUUGGAUACUUCUCUUCAACUUCCAAGUGCGGCCUUAUCAACUGAAAGUCUGAAACAUAUCAGAAUAAUAGGAUGUUUAUUUUCACUGGAGUCUCAAAGUACAUUAUUUGUCCCAUAUUUCCGGAAAAGUAACGUUGAGGUUCUAAAAGUCUGAGUUUCUGUAGAUUUGUAAAAAAAUAUUUAUUGGGCUACAACUCGUUCUACAACUAUAUGUCCUGGGACCAAUUAAGCGGGCGGCUGCGGAAGGGGGCAGCCGGGCAAGAAGCAAGCGAACAAGUUUGGUGUCGUCUUCGCAUACCACAAUGCAAGGUGAGCUUUUUCCACCCCCUGUUUUGGUGGGUUUUUUGAGGCUCGUUGGGAGAUCGUUGCCGGGUGGGAUUCGAGUUCACAGAUGCGCAUGGUGGGAUUGUUGUGGUCAAGUGCAAGGAGUUCAAUUGGGCUUUUUUGCGCAUAAAAGAUGCCAUUUUUGAGAGCAUUCAUGUGCGUGCCCAUGGAUCCUGAUUGAAUCUGAUGCAAACCGCUGCCUCGAUUGUUCCAUGGCGCAGUGUGUGAUACCGGGACUCGCAUUUUUAACCCUCCGAAGUUGUUGCUUCCUUCUUCCAAACCAAAAAAAAGUGUUGUUUUUAGGCCUGUUCUCGGGCGCGAUUUUGUGGAUUGAUGAAUCCGUUGCAAACCCACGGCGCGUGAGCGUUAUGGCUAGGCUGGUGGCUCACGUGAGAGAAGAUCUAAGGUAAAACUCUGGCCAGGCCUCUCUUUCUCGCCGGUAUGGGCAGGUGCCGCCCUGUGGGCCGUCGCCGGCCGUACUGCCGUGGCAUGGCACCUUCGUCGUCAUCGUUAGGUCGCCCGUAGUGCAGCCCAAUACGGCCCAAACGCAUGCCGACCCAGCUCAAAGAGGGAAAAUGGGCUGGUAGGCAACUUGAGCAUUGGUUUCUUUUUUUUUUCCGGGUAGUGUGCGCAUUAGUUUCAUAGAGGAAGGUGGACUGCAUCACAUAUUUCAAUGGUGUUUGUUACAGCGCGUCUUGUGACUAGGCUGAUCGUCCAUCUGCUUGGGCUCUGCUGCCCUUAUCAUGAGGAUUUUAACGUAAGCACAUUUACAUUGUGUUAUUCAUUACACGCAUGGGUACGGUGUAAUUUUACGGUGUUCAAGUUCUAACUGAUGCUAUGUCAUAUAUAUUCCAAAGUAUCCCAAUCGUCGAAUGCGACAUCUCCCAAUGAUUGCAUGCUUACCUCACUACCAUGCCGCGCAAGAAGCAGCAAAAGAAGAAGAUAUCACCAUUUUUUAUUGGUUAUCACCAUGAUAUACUAGUUACUCCCCUGCUCAA
This 2032-nucleotide long non-coding RNA is filed under the name Setaria italica (foxtail millet). Its description in RNAcentral is "long non-coding RNA (SITA_LNC001689)". The record is from RNAcentral. Lineage: Eukaryota; Viridiplantae; Streptophyta; Magnoliopsida; Poales; Poaceae.